This 253-nucleotide ribosomal RNA is filed under the name uncultured bacterium. RNAcentral describes it as "partial 16S ribosomal RNA". It matches the Rfam family "Bacterial small subunit ribosomal RNA", at positions 524 to 776 of the family's 1533-position model. The record is from RNAcentral.
UACGUAGGGUGCAAGCGUUAAUCGGAAUUACUGGGCGUAAAGCGUGCGCAGGCGGUUCUUUAAGACAGAUGUGAAAUCCCCGGGCUCAACCUGGGAACUGCAUUUGUGACUGCAGAGCUGGAGUACGGUAGAGGGGGAUGGAAUUCCGCGUGUAGCAGUGAAAUGCGUAGAUAUGCGGAGGAACACCGAUGGCGAAGGCAAUCCCCUGGACCUGUACUGACGCUCAUGCACGAAAGCGUGGGGAGCAAACAGG